GGAUGGUUAGGGUUUGAUGAAUUUCCUUGAAUUACAGUAAUAUGCUAGCUGCCCUUGACAUGAAUUGAGUAAUUGAACAUUGAAUUGUAAAUUUAGUGCAUGAAUUGAAAUUUGAGAAUUUGUGGUUUUGAGCAAAAUUAGGGUUUUGCUCAUGUGAUGGUUGAACAUUUUAAAGGUCAAUUAGUGUCCAUUUGGUAAGGUUGAACCAUAAAAUGAGACAAAUUGUGGCUUUGGAUAUUGAAAUGUGUAGGUUGCUUUUUGUGAUCAAUUCUGGACCACUAGAGUCUAGUGUGUUUGAAGAGCCUUAACUGAAUUUGUGUAGCUCCAAUUAGUGCAAGGCCAAUUGGAGGUGAAAAUAGACAUAUAAUGCAGCUUUUUUGGUAAAGAAAUCAUACUCAGAAAACCAACUUAAGUUGCCUUAAAAAUUGACCUAAUCCGGAUAACACACAUGCUGCCAU
This 458-nucleotide unclassified non-coding RNA is filed under the name Hevea brasiliensis (rubber tree). Lineage: Eukaryota; Viridiplantae; Streptophyta; Magnoliopsida; Malpighiales; Euphorbiaceae. The record is from RNAcentral.